GUCUACGGCCAUGCCACCCUGAACGUGCCUGAUCCCGUCUGAUCUCAGAAGCUAAGCAGGGUUGGACCUGGUUAGUACUUGGAUGGGAGAACACCUAUGAAGACCGGGUGCUGUAGGCA
RNAcentral lists this ribosomal RNA (119 nucleotides) under Pteropus alecto (black flying fox). Lineage: Eukaryota; Metazoa; Chordata; Mammalia; Chiroptera; Pteropodidae. The record is from RNAcentral.